Molecule: ribosomal RNA, 444 nt
Filed under: uncultured bacterium
Lineage: Bacteria
Description: partial 16S ribosomal RNA
Rfam family: Bacterial small subunit ribosomal RNA
Source: RNAcentral
GUAGGGAAUAUUGGGCAAUGGUCGGAAGACUGACCCAGCCAUGUCGCGUGCAGGAAGACGGCCCUCUGGGUUGUAAACUGCUUUUAUCUGGGAAGAAAAAGGCCAUGCGUGGCAAAUUGCCGGUACCAGAUGAAUAAGCACCGGCUAACUCCGUGCCAGCAGCCGCGGUAAUACGGAGGGUGCGAGCGUUGUCCGGACUUAUUGGGUUUAAAGGGUGCGUAGGCGGCUGAUUAAGUCAGCGGUGAAAGACUUCGGCUUAACCGGAGCAGUGCCGUUGAUACUGGUUGGCUUGAGUGUCGGAGGGGUACAUGGAAUUGAUGGUGUAGCGGUGAAAUGCAUAGAUACCAUCAGGAACACCGAUAGCGAAGGCAUUGUACUGGCCGACAACUGACGCUGAUGCACGAAAGUGUGGGGAUCGAACAGGAUUAGAAACCCCUGUAGUCC